UACAGAGGGUGCAAGCGUUAAUCGGAAUUACUGGGCGUAAAGGGCGCGUAGGUGGUUACGUAAGUGAGUUGUGAAAUCCCCGGGCUUAACCUGGGAAUGGCGAUUUAAACUGCGUAGCUGGAGUGCAAUAGAGGGUAGUGGAAUUUCCGGUGUAGCGGUGAAAUGCGUAGAUAUCGGAAGGAACACCAGUGGCGAAGGCGGCUACCUGGAUUGACACUGACACUGAGGCGCGAGAGCGUGGGUAGCAAACAGG
RNAcentral lists this ribosomal RNA (253 nucleotides) under uncultured bacterium. Its description in RNAcentral is "partial 16S ribosomal RNA". It matches the Rfam family "Bacterial small subunit ribosomal RNA", at positions 524 to 776 of the family's 1533-position model. The record is from RNAcentral.